This 453-nucleotide ribosomal RNA is filed under the name uncultured bacterium. RNAcentral's name for it is "bacterial SSU rRNA". It matches the Rfam family "Bacterial small subunit ribosomal RNA", at positions 29 to 524 of the family's 1533-position model. The record is from RNAcentral.
AGCGAACGCUGGCGGCAGGCUUAACACAUGCAAGUCGAACGGGCGUAGCAAUACGUCAGUGGCAGACGGGUGAGUAACGCGUGGGAACGUACCUUUUGGUUCGGAACAACCCAGGGAAACUUGGGCUAAUACCGGAUAAGCCCUUACGGGGAAAGAUUUAUCGCCGAAAGAUCGGCCCGCGUCUGAUUAGCUAGUUGGUGUGGUAACGGCGCACCAAGGCGACGAUCAGUAGCUGGUCUGAGAGGAUGAUCAGCCACAUUGGGACUGAGACACGGCCCAAACUCCUACGGGAGGCAGCAGUGGGGAAUAUUGGACAAUGGGCGGCAAGCCUGAUCCAGCCAUGCCGCGUGAGUGAUGAAGGCCCUAGGGUUGUAAAGCUCUUUUGUGCGGGAAGAUAAUGACGGUACCGCAAGAAUAAGCCCCGGCUAACUUCGUGCCAGCAGCCGCGGUAAG